Molecule: unclassified non-coding RNA, 44 nt
Filed under: Bacillus sp. OK838
Lineage: Bacteria; Bacillati; Bacillota; Bacilli; Caryophanales; Bacillaceae
Description: Bacillus-plasmid RNA
Source: RNAcentral
UCAACGGUACCGGACCGAAGGGAGGAUAAGGAGUACUCACUUCA